CACACAUUGGAAGCUGGGUGGACAGAGCUGUAGUGUUCAGGCAGAGCUGACCCAAGCCAUUCUCCCUGGGCAAUGCAGAUGCACGCAAAGAGACUCAGUGGGCCACAGGUCAAUCCACCCUGCCCCAAGCAUCAGUGGAGGGAGAACACAGAGCUUCAUGAAACUUGGCAGCAUACUAUACUGGGGUGCCUGAGCAUGGGCAGCUAGAUUUGUGAAGCACUGUGACACCCUCUACCCCCGCUGCAACCCUCAUUGAACACUUGUGUUACUACUUGGCCUGACGCCUGCACCGCUGCAAGGGGGCAGAUGCUCCCUGUGCUCUCUCCUCAAAUCCAGGGCCUCCUCCCACAAAAAGCAUGUGACAUCCUUUAACAUUAUUCUGCAGAAUCCUCAUCAAUGACUUUCAGCAUAAGACAAAUACAACAGCUCAUUUUCCUGUACACUUCCUUAUCUGAACAGGCAUGUUGGUUACCUAGAAACAAGAGUAAACACAAGUGUCUCAGCAACAGUGAUCCAAGAGACUCAGGGAACUUGUGACUCCUGUGUCUUCUGCAAGUCCAACAGCCUUUUCUGAUUUUAUUUUCAUUUCAAAAUACUGUGUCUGCUCCAAGAAAUGUGCAGAAUUGUAGAGAGUUUACCAGCAGGUAUUCCUGGGUAGUUUGUCAUUUUUCUGAGCUGCCCAGUGAACUUGCAGAUGGACUGAGGAUGGUAUGGGGAAUUUGUGUUUGGGAGAGUUUAGCUGUUUCCUUGACAACAGCAUUUGGGGCUCCCAUGCACAGUGGGACUGAGACAAUGGGAACGACUUAAAGAGUUAAAAGAAGAACGAAGAAAAUGUCAGCUUCAAGGUAAAGUAUGAUAUCUACACAGAGAAUGUAUUCUCAAUGUUGGACUCACUGGCCUUCCAAAGGCUUACAGUAGCUAACAUCAAAUAAGACAAUUACAGUGUUUUUCAGUGUCCAUCUGGUAGAAAGUUGUUUGGUUAUCUUGGUGUAAUGUCUAUAACAAAGUCAAAGUAUGCAAUUCUAAUAUCCUGCUAAUAUUUUUUCACAUUAUUUUCCCUUCAUUAUAAGAGAAUUUAUCUUCUCUGUGUUAUGGUUAUAUGUAUGAAGUACUAUUACAGUUAUUUCUUGCAGAAAUCGUUAGUGAAAAAUUGUUUCUCAUCAUACAGUCAUAGCAUUUCUGUUAAGUCACAUGCACAGUAAAUAAGGUGACAGUGCAAACAAUUAACUGCAAACAAGCAAAUGUGGUGUAUAGCUAUCUGCUACAAUAUGAUUUAAUAUCUAGUAACAUUAGAAAAAGGGUUUUUAUUCAAAAUAACUCUUGGGAAUCCAUCUGUUCCUUCACUAUGAUGACAGGGCUGCACUGUGUGCAACCUCAUUGACUGUGAUAAAAUUGCAUCUGGAUUUACUGAGAGCAGAAUUUGUCCUGUGUGUGUGUGCCCGCACGUCUUUUAAUUAUUACUAGGCAUCUUCACCAGUUGGGUUACUCUUUUUUCUUUUCCCUAUGACCUGUGUGGUUCAUGUCAGCCAAUGGUUUUCUGCUUUUACAUUAUUUAAUAAACCCUUUUCAUUUGUAUUCUUGAAAAAUGACUACAGUAGAACCUCAGAGUUGUGAACACUUCAGAAAUGGAGGUUGUUCGUAACUCUGAAAUGUUCAUAACUCUGAACAAAACAUUAUGGUUGUCCUUUCAAAAGUUUACAACUGAACAUUGACAAUACAACUUUAAAACUACUAUGCAAAAGAAACAUGCUGCUUUUAACCAUCAUAAUUUAAAUGAAACAAGCACAGAAAUGGUUUCCUUACCUGGUCAAAUCUUAAAAAAACAAAAACAAAAAACCCUUU
Trachemys scripta elegans is the source of this 1842-nucleotide long non-coding RNA. RefSeq lists it as uncharacterized. The record is from RefSeq and is a predicted model, not a curated record. NCBI's taxonomy places the organism in Eukaryota, Metazoa, Chordata, Testudines, Emydidae. The transcript is spliced from 3 exons.